AGCUGACCAAUACUAAUUGCUCGUGAGGCUUGACUAUACAACACCCAAACAGUUG
RNAcentral lists this ribosomal RNA (55 nucleotides) under Acinetobacter sp. 51m. RNAcentral describes it as "partial 23S ribosomal RNA". Lineage: Bacteria; Pseudomonadati; Pseudomonadota; Gammaproteobacteria; Moraxellales; Moraxellaceae. The record is from RNAcentral.